UACGAAGGGUGCAAGCGUUACUCGGAAUUACUGGGCGUAAAGCGUGCGUAGGUGGUUUUUAAGUCCGUUGUGAAAGCCCUGGGCUCAACCUGGGAAUGGCAGUGGAUACUGGAAAGCUAGAGUGCGGUAGAGGGUAGUGGAAUUCCUGGUGUAGCGGUGAAAUGCGUAGAUAUCAGGAGGAACACCUGUGGUGUAGACAGCUUACUGGACCAUUCUGACGCUGAGACACGAAAGCGUGGGUAGCAAACAGG
This 251-nucleotide ribosomal RNA is filed under the name uncultured bacterium. Its description in RNAcentral is "partial 16S ribosomal RNA". It matches the Rfam family "Bacterial small subunit ribosomal RNA", at positions 524 to 776 of the family's 1533-position model. The record is from RNAcentral.